RNAcentral lists this long non-coding RNA (1062 nucleotides) under Oryzias javanicus (javanese ricefish). RNAcentral describes it as "lncRNA (ENSOJAG00000016512.1)". Lineage: Eukaryota; Metazoa; Chordata; Actinopteri; Beloniformes; Adrianichthyidae. The record is from RNAcentral.
CUGUUUGUGGAUGAAUGAUAAAAGCAGGUGACGUCUUCCAGCAUCUUCCUAUGUGUUUUCUCUUUGUAUUCUGGUUGCUACGGCGACGUCGACUCACCUCUUGGUGUGAUUCUUGGGUUUGGAGAGGGCCGGCGCUUUGGGCACGGGGAGGGGCUCCUUCAGCGCCCCCUUCAGGCUGUUGUGGAGUUCAGCUAAAAUUCAGCAUCUUCAGUUCUAACAUCAUCAACGGCCAAAUUUAGCUUCCAGCAUUCACACGAGCAUUAUUGCAGGUAAUGCUAUAUAUCUACGUCAUAAUUAUCUUAAAAAGCAUAAUUAUGUUACACAGCAUUACAUUUUAAAAUGUUACUUUCAGAAAACUUUCAAUGGAUUUGACGAAAAAUCAACAGAGGAGGAAGAAACCUCCUCUUCCUCCUCCUCCUCCUCCUCCUCCUCUGGCUCCUCACUGACUUGUUGUGGAAGUCGUAGAUCUCCUGCAUGUUCCCGAACACGAUCAGCUCCUUGUUGGCGAUGCCUGGAGGAAUCUCCUCGCCGCCGGAGGUCAUCUCACACAGGUAGGUCUGUCAGAAAGAGAGGCGGGGCUUAGCGUGGACGCGUGCAUGACGGCAGCGGGACAGAGACGGCGUCUCCUCACCUCCAAACACUCCUGCAGGUCUCUGACGUAAGCCUUCUCCGUCUGCAGGAGCUCCGCCAUGAUGAACCUGCAAAGUUAACCGACAAACUCAGACGCACAAACGCCUUUCAGGUUUCAUCUAUAAAAUAUAUAAACAUUUAUUUGACUUUUUUUAAUGAUUAAAAUCUCAUUUUUUUAUUUGUCUUCAGUAUUUGAUUCCUGCGUCCUCACUCUUUCUUCCGGGCGGACUUCCUCUUCUCCUCGUUGACCUCGUGGUUGGGGUCGCGCAGUUUGACCUCUGGGUCGUCUGUCAGGCUGGCAGGCAUGAUCUCCAGCUCCAAAUCUUUAUUGUCCUGUGAGGAGAAGCAGAUUUCCCAACCACAGAGUAUAAACUUAUAAACUUUUUGAGUCCGUUUGAGUUUUGUUUGAUGAAACUGACAAAUAAGACUCAA